RNAcentral lists this ribosomal RNA (517 nucleotides) under uncultured bacterium. RNAcentral describes it as "bacterial SSU rRNA". It matches the Rfam family "Bacterial small subunit ribosomal RNA", at positions 17 to 518 of the family's 1533-position model. The record is from RNAcentral.
UCCUGGCUUAGGACGAACGCUGGCGGCGUGCUUAACACAUGCAAGUCGAACGGAGAUUCAGCAAUGGAUCUAGUGGCGAACGGGUGAGUAACGCGUAGGCAAUCUGCCUUCUAGAUGGGGACAACAUCCCGAAAGGGGUGCUAAUACCGAAUGUUGUAACGACUUCGCAUGAAGUUGCUACUAAAGGUGGCCUCUGAAUAUGCUACCGCUAGAAGAUGAGCCUGCGUCUGAUUAGCUAGUUGGAGGGUAACGGCCCACCAAGGCUUCGAUCAGUAGCCGGUCUGAGAGGAUGAACGGCCACACUGGGACUGAGACACGGCCCAGACUCCUACGGGAGGCAGCAGUGGGGAAUCUUCCGCAAUGGACGAAAGUCUGACGGAGCAACGCCGCGUUGAGUGAAGAAGGUUUUCGGAUCGUAAAGCUCUUUCGUUAGGGACGAACGUGCUCUUUGUGAAUAAUGAGGAGUAAUGACGGUACCUAAAUAAGAAGCCACGGCUAACUACGUGCCAGCCGCCGC